RNAcentral lists this long non-coding RNA (389 nucleotides) under Musa acuminata (dwarf banana). Its description in RNAcentral is "long non-coding RNA (MACU_LNC002994)". The record is from RNAcentral. Lineage: Eukaryota; Viridiplantae; Streptophyta; Magnoliopsida; Zingiberales; Musaceae.
AGCAUCUACGAGAGGAUAACCCGUUCUACCUUGUCUCCAAGCUUUGAAAUAAUCUUCAUCGAUCACCCAAGGAAAGAACCUAAGGUGGACCAAGAGAGGUUUCUCAUGACUGUAAGGGUGGUUGAAACUCAAGUAUCUAGAGUACUCCCGAAGACCAAUAGAUUUAAGGAACAAAUCACAGCUCUCUUCGGCUGCUUUAUUCCCCUCAUUGGUCCACACAAGCUGCUUCAUACGAACAAGAUGGAAGACUUUGCGGACACUUAGCUCCCCAAAAUGCAAAUGAGGUGAAAGUAGUGAUGUAGAUGCACUAUCUGCUUUCCUUCGAUUCACAGAGUACUCAAUCAAAGGUCCAUUAAUGAAGGAAGUCAGAGACUUGUCAGCAUUACGCC